CCUACGGGUGACAGCAGUGAGGAAUAUUGGUCAAUGGACGCAAGUCUGAACCAGCCAUGCCGCGUGCAGGAAGACGGCCCUAUGAGUUGUAAACUGCUUUUAUACGGGGGUAAAUCCCGAUACGUGUAUCGGUUUGAAAGUAUCGUACGAAUAAGGAUCGGCUAACUCCGUGCCAGCAGCCGCGGUAAUACGGAGGAUUCAAGCGUUAUCCGGAUUUAUUGGGUUUAAAGGGAGCGUAGGCGGUUCGAUAAGUUAGAUGUGAAAGCCCGGGGCUCAACCCGGGCACUGCAGUUGAUACUGGCGGGCUAGAGUUCAGUUGCGGUAGGCGGAAUGCGUGGUGUAGCGGUGAAAUGCAUAGAGAUCAUGCAGAACACCGAUUGCGAAGGCAGCUUACUAAACUGCGACUGACGUUGAGGCACGAAAGCGUGGGGAGCAAACAGGAUUAGAUACCCGGGUAGUC
Molecule: ribosomal RNA, 460 nt
Filed under: uncultured bacterium
Lineage: Bacteria
Description: partial 16S ribosomal RNA
Rfam family: Bacterial small subunit ribosomal RNA
Source: RNAcentral